GCAGGCAAAAGCUCAAAUUUGAAAUCUGGUACCUUCGGUGCCCGAGUUGUAAUUUGGAGAGGGCAACUUUGGGGCCGUUCCUUGUCUAUGUUCCUUGGAACAGGACGUCAUAGAGGGUGAGAAUCCCGUGUGGCGAGGAGUGCGGUUCUUUGUAAAGUGCCUUCGAAGAGUCGAGUUGUUUGGGAAUGCAGCUCUAAGUGGGUGGUAAAUUCCAUCUAAAGCUAAAUAUUGGCGAGAGACCGAUAGCGAACAAGUACAGUGAUGGAAAGAUGAAAAGAACUUUGAAAAGAGAGUGAAAAAGUACGUGAAAUUGUUGAAAGGGAAGGGCAUUUGAUCAGACAUGGUGUUUUGUGCCCUCUGCUCCUUGUGGGUAGGGGAAUCUCGCAUUUCACUGGGCCAGCAUCAGUUUUGGUGGCAGGAUAAAUCCAUAGGAAUGUAGCUUGCCUCGGUAAGUAUUAUAGCCUGUGGGAAUACUGCCAGCUGGGACUGAGGACUGCGACGUAAGUCAAGGAUGCUGGCAUAAUGGUUAUAUGCCGCCCGUCUUGAA
This 547-nucleotide ribosomal RNA is filed under the name Saccharomyces cerevisiae (brewer's yeast). Its description in RNAcentral is "eukaryotic LSU rRNA". It matches the Rfam family "Eukaryotic large subunit ribosomal RNA", at positions 97 to 658 of the family's 3401-position model. The record is from RNAcentral. Lineage: Eukaryota; Fungi; Ascomycota; Saccharomycetes; Saccharomycetales; Saccharomycetaceae.